This 70-nucleotide transfer RNA is filed under the name Babesia rodhaini. Its description in RNAcentral is "tRNA-Ala". It matches the Rfam family "tRNA". Rfam says of the family: Transfer RNA (tRNA) molecules are approximately 80 nucleotides in length. The record is from RNAcentral. Lineage: Eukaryota; Apicomplexa; Aconoidasida; Piroplasmida; Babesiidae.
GGGGAUAUAAUUUAUUAUAAAAUAUUAUCUUUGCACGAUAAAAUAAGUAGUUAAAAUCUACUUAUCUCCA